AACGAACGCUGGCGGCAUGCCUAACACAUGCAAGUCGAACGAAGGCUUCGGCCUUAGUGGCGCACGGGUGCGUAACGCGUGGGAAUCUGCCUUUCGGUACGGAAUAACUCAGAGAAAUUUGAGCUAAUACCGUAUGAUGUCGCGAGACCAAAGAUUUAUCGCCGAGAGAUGAGCCCGCGUUGGAUUAGCUAGUUGGUGGGGUAAAGGCCUACCAAGGCGACGAUCCAUAGCUGGUCUGAGAGGAUGAUCAGCCACACUGGGACUGAGACACGGCCCAGACUCCUACGGGAGGCAGCAGUGGGGAAUAUUGGACAAUGGGCGAAAGCCUGAUCCAGCAAUGCCGCGUGAGUGAUGAAGGCCUUAGGGUUGUAAAGCUCUUUUACCCGGGAAGAUAAUGACUGUACCGGGAGAAUAAGCCCGGCUAACUCCGUGCCAGCAGCCGCGGUAAU
RNAcentral lists this ribosomal RNA (449 nucleotides) under uncultured bacterium. RNAcentral describes it as "bacterial SSU rRNA". It matches the Rfam family "Bacterial small subunit ribosomal RNA", at positions 29 to 524 of the family's 1533-position model. The record is from RNAcentral.